RNAcentral lists this ribosomal RNA (454 nucleotides) under uncultured bacterium. RNAcentral describes it as "partial 16S ribosomal RNA". It matches the Rfam family "Bacterial small subunit ribosomal RNA", at positions 28 to 507 of the family's 1533-position model. The record is from RNAcentral.
GAUGAACGCUGACAGAAUGCUUAACACAUGCAAGUCAACUUGAACUUCGGUUUGGGUGGCGGACGGGUGAGUAACGCGUAAAGAACUUGCCUCACAGAUAGGGACAACAUUUGGAAACGAAUGCUAAUACCUGAUAUUAUGAUUAUAUGGCAUCGUAUAAUUAUGAAGGCUAUAUGCGCUGUGAGAGAGCUUUGCGUCCCAUUAGCUAGUUGGAGAGGUAACGGCUCACCAAGGCGAUGAUGGGUAGCCGGCCUGAGAGGGUGAUCGGCCACAAGGGGACUGAGACACGGCCCUUACUCCUACGGGAGGCAGCAGUGGGGAAUAUUGGACAAUGGACCAAGAGUCUGAUCCAGCAAUUCUGUGUGCACGAUGAAGUUUUUCGGAAUGUAAAGUGCUUUCAGUUGGGAAGAAAAAAAUGACGGUACCAACAGAAGAAGUGACGGCUAAAUACGUG